UGGGGAAUAUUGGACAAUGGGCGCAAGCCUGAUCCAGCCAUGCCGCGUGAGUGAUGAAGGCCUUAGGGUUGUAAAGCUCUUUCAGUAGGGAAGAUAAUGACGGUACCUACAGAAGAAGCCCCGGCUAGCUACGUGCCAGCAGCCGCGGUAAUAAUCACUAGUGAAUUCGCGGCCGCC
This 177-nucleotide ribosomal RNA is filed under the name uncultured bacterium. Its description in RNAcentral is "partial 16S ribosomal RNA". It matches the Rfam family "Bacterial small subunit ribosomal RNA", at positions 355 to 546 of the family's 1533-position model. The record is from RNAcentral.